CCUACGGGGGGCAGCAGUGAGGAAUAUUGGUCAAUGGACGAGAGUCUGAACCAGCCAAGUAGUGUGAAGGAUGACUGCCCUAUGGGUUGUAAACUUCUUUUAUAUGGGAAUAAAAUGUUCCACGUGUGGGAUUUUGUAUGUACCAUAUGAAUAAGGAUCGGCUAACUCCGUGCCAGCAGCCGCGGUAAUACGGAGGAUCCGAGCGUUAUCCGGAUUUAUUGGGUUUAAAGGGAGCGUAGGUGGAUUGUUAAGUCAGUUGUGAAAGUUUGCGGCUCAACCGUAAAAUUGCAGUUGAAACUGGCAGUCUUGAGUACAGUAGAGGUGAGCGGAAUUCGUGGUGUAGCGGUGAAAUGCUUAGAUAUCACGAAGAACUCCGAUUGCGAAGGCAGUUCACUGGACUGCAACUGACACUGAGGCUCGAAAGUGUGGGUAUCAAACAGGAUUAGAUACCCCUGUAGUC
This 460-nucleotide ribosomal RNA is filed under the name uncultured bacterium. RNAcentral's name for it is "partial 16S ribosomal RNA". It matches the Rfam family "Bacterial small subunit ribosomal RNA", at positions 338 to 795 of the family's 1533-position model. The record is from RNAcentral.